CAGUAGCCACGGUAAAACGGAGGGUGCAAGCGUUAUCCGGAUUUAUUGGGUUUAAAGGGUCCGUAGGCGGACUUAUAAGUCAGUGGUGAAAGCCUGUCGCUUAACGAUAGAACUGCCAUUGAUACUGUAAGUCUUGAGUAUAUUUGAGGUAGCUGGAAUAAGUAGUGUAGCGGUGAAAUGCAUAGAUAUUACUUAGAACACCAAUUGCGAAGGCAGGUUACCAAGAUAUAACUGACGCUGAGGGACGAAAGCGUGGGUAGCGAACAGGAUUAGAUACCCCUGUAGUCCCUGUCUCUUAUAC
This 301-nucleotide ribosomal RNA is filed under the name uncultured bacterium. RNAcentral's name for it is "partial 16S ribosomal RNA". It matches the Rfam family "Bacterial small subunit ribosomal RNA", at positions 509 to 807 of the family's 1533-position model. The record is from RNAcentral.